Molecule: long non-coding RNA, 4366 nt
Organism: Crotalus tigris (Tiger rattlesnake)
Lineage: Eukaryota; Metazoa; Chordata; Lepidosauria; Squamata; Viperidae
Exons: 5
Source: RefSeq, a predicted model, not a curated record
CUAGGGAAGUUGUAGGGUGCAGGAAAUUGCUCUGACCAAAGAUCAAUACUGAUUGCUCACAAAGAUGAAUGGAACUGGACUAUGGAUACAUGUUGCCCAAGACUAUGCAUGCUUCAGCCUGCAAAAAGUAUUGCUGCUUUAAUGAAUAACAGAGAGAGAGUAUAAGAACGUGUUCCCUCAAUCCUGGCUUGAACUCUGACGAUGCCAGCAGAUGCUAGCGAAAGCUAAGUUUUAAUAAAUUUUUUAGUCUUGGUGAUCUGUGUUUUCUGAUUUUGAAUAUCUAUCUAUCUAUCUAUCUAUCUAUCUAUCUAUCGAUCGAUCGAUCGAUAGACAGACAGACAGACAGACAGUGUUUGCAUAUUGUUAGAUUGAAUUUCACAAGGUGCUAAUAUUUACCUAUGUCUGUUUGCCUUGACAGUGUUGUCACCAGAGUCUUACUGAUAUGUCCUAAAUAUUUGUACUUAUUUAUAGAUAUACAGGUUAAACACUGAAGAGUUUAAGAAUCCAAAGCAAGCUUCCUAACGCAUGAGAGUCCAGAAGACAGCAAUUGGAGAACCUCAGGCUGGAAUGCUUGUUUAAGAAUAGCCAUCUACAAGGAAGAUUGAUGAUGAGAGUUGAAGUUUUGUCAAACUGGUGUCCAGUAACCUUUAGCUGCCUCUCUGUGGGAAAUACAGAGGACUGAGGUAUUUAAAACUUCUCAGCUUUGCUGGAACAACUGGUACAGCUGAUAUUUAAGGCUGCCCCAAAGGCUGCAGUCUUGUAGGAACAAGUUUGGCAAUGGGGAUGUUGAGAAUGUCUUGUUGGCUUUAGAAAACCAGAGUGGACUGGAGGUAAGUUCUGCUUACGUACAGUAUCUCCCCUUGAAACUGAUAAUACUGGACUGCCUACAGAACCCCAGAUGCUGUUUUUGCUUGGCCCUUUCAGCACUGAUAAAAAACUUUGGCCUGAUUUAUAGUUUUACAAUCUGGCUUCAUAGUAAGAGAAUUGAUAUAUAAUACUUCGUUAAAUUUCCUGCUAGAAUCUUGUUAGGCGGUGAAAGUUGAAGCAAUUAGCUUUUUAACUUUCAAAACUUCUGGUUUUUAUAAUAGCCCCAUGUCCUUUAAGGAACAGGGCAUCUUGCCUGGCACUUCUUGAAUGCCUAUCAGAGCAUAUAAAAUCUUUGUUUCCACAUUUCCAGGGACAAUGGGAGAGAUAGUACCUCCCCUUAGUUUUUUCCUGACACAAUUAAGGAUGGAUGGGCCUUCCUUUCAAAAUGCUUUUUAGAUAUCUCAUUGUGGAUGAUAUGAUUAAAAGGGAAUGUGGAAAAACUAAAAUUCUGGGUUUUUUGGCUGUAUCUUCCCUUCCCCCGCUUUCCAUUCUGUCCUGCUUCAAAGCUCUGAGAUGGUUCCAAUGAUGGGGGCUAAGAACUUCAAGGUUCUGUUAGAUGAUGUGUUCUCUCUUUGGCCAUUUAUAAUGAUAACUGUAAGAGUCUGUCAUCUUCAGUUAUUGAACUUCUGCCAGAUUAAACAAGUUCUGUUUCCUGACACUGCAGAUUUAUUGGUUCAGGCCCUGGUGGUCUCUCUUUUAGGCAUUACCUUAACAGUCUAAGGUGUGUCUUCCUUUUUCCUUCUUCAAUCAUUAAUCUUGGUCCAGAACUUUGCAGUAUGUGUUAUUCUCAAUCUAUCUUUUUCUCAUAUUUCUGCUUCUGCAGGGCUUUUAUCAGCUUCCUACAAUAGCCAGAGUCCAAUGCCAGUUGUUGGUGCUAGUAUUUAAGAACCUGCAGUCAGUUAUUUACCACUCCCUGUUCCAGCCCCCAUCCUAGUAUGUACCUGUUUAUACAAAAUAGUUAAUAACAAAAGGGAUUCUUUCUCCCCUUUCUAUUGGCACUUUAUAUGUUGCUUUAUCUAUUUGGAUAUAUUUCAGAAACUAGGUCUUUGAUUAUGGAAUUGUGUUCUUGCCCAAUUCUGGCUACUGCAUUUAAGAUUGAUUUGAAAACCUGUUUAUUUAAUACUAAACUAAUUUUACACAGUCAUGUAUUUAUAUAUUUGCCUACUUAUUUCCUAACAUGUCAGUGCUGUUAUAUGCUGAAGAGUGUAGAGCAUCGUCCAUUAAAAGUAUGCAAAUAAUUAUACAACACCCUGCAUUAUAAGGGUUUUGACUAUAUUGUGGAAAAAUCCAAAGGCAAUUAAUUGACUUGUUUUGCUUAUUUGUUCCACGAUAACAAGCUGGAGAGAAAAUAAGAGUGAAACAGCAACUGGCACAAUUCAUUGGUAAAGUCUGGCAGCAAGAAUAUGCUUCUGACCAUGGAUUCACUGUAGGGACAAACCACACCAAUUGCUGCCUGCCCAGCCAAUGUGGGUGGAGCUCAUGAUACCAUGAAGCCUUGCCAGUACACCUGCAGAACAAGGGCUCAAGAGAUGGAGGGACAUCCUGGAGAAGACUUGGUGCUAAAAGGACAGAAGAACUACAGUAAAGAUAUGAAACCAACAAUGUUGCAGCAAAAUGUACCAUGGGCUGCAUCAACAGAGUGCACCUAGAGUCCUAGACCUAAGCUUAAUAAGGCAACAUUGACAUUGCUUUUUGUAGACCUAGGCUGCCAGAGAGUCAGGAUGCCUGGUUCAUAGUAGAUAUUACAAGGACUUCUUAUGUUCACAAGUUUAUCCCUAUUCUGGAAGAGCAGUAGACCUGUUCUUAAACAUAUGUUUAUCACUCUUUUGAAAGGACACAAGACUUAUUUUGGGAACUGGUGCAAAUUGAAGAAGAGAACUGGAUUUUGUCAACUGCCUAUAGCUUAUCCCAAAUGUGUUUUCUGCUGCUGGUUCUCCCACUGUGAGGUUUUGUGUGAUCAUACUUUCUACCAGUUUUAUUCCUUUGAGAGGCUGGUAAGUUUCUCUACUACAGCAUCAUUUUACACACUUUAUUGGCUACCUCCAGUACUGUUGGUCAUAUCUAUUCACUGGCAGCAACACUUGUUUGUUUGUUUAUUAAUCUUGUACUCCUACCACAAUCCAAUGACUCUGCAGCCUACAAGGUUUACAAUGCAAUAACAAUUAAAUCAUCCAUAGUACUAUCUAAAAUCAAUAUAUUUACAAUUCAUUAUGCUUGGGUUCUGCCCAUUCCUAGAUAUAGUAGGUGGCUCAUAAUAAAUGAUUUAGAACCUCCAUAAUCCAAGUGAUAUAAAAACAAAAUUCAUACAAAAUCAGUAAACCAUGAUCACUGUAUAUUAUAAAGUAGCCACAAGACGGAUGAAACUCUACUAGAAGGAUUUCCAAAGAAUCAGGAUGGCAAUGAUAAAAGAACAUAUAAAAGGCCCCAUCAGAUGACAGUUCCAGGGAUAUAGCUGACUCUAAGAUCUCGUUGAAUGGGUAGAUGAAUGCCAGAGAAGAUCUCUCAGAUAACCAGAACCAUGUAUGGCUCUGCAUAGGUAGCCAUGAAACCAGCCCAAUAAAUAUCAUCUGGAGUUCUACUAGCAAUUAAUGAAACUAUAUUGAUAUAAUAUAUUGAGGCCCACUUACCACUGCUUGGGAUACCACAUUCUAUACCAGCUUCUAGAUCAGACAUGUCAAACUCGCGAUGUCACGUGACGUUGCGAGAUGUAUCGGCACUGUUUUACCAUUGCCGGCAAUGGGGUGGGUGCGGCUUCCGGAUGAUGUGUCCAGCCUGCGGGCCAGCACUUUGACACCCCUGUUCUAGAUGUUCCUCAAGGGCAGCUCCACUUACAGCACAUAACAACUGGGAAGUAAAACAGAUGUGAGUGGUUAUGAAAGUGUGGGAACACAAUUAGCCAUGUGAUCUAGUUGAUUGGGCCAAUUCUAGUCAGAACAGGCAGUCCUGCAGGUAACUAGGGGUCAAGUCUUAAAGGGCUUUAUAUAUAAGCAACAGCACUUUAAAUUGUAUACAGAAAUCAAUCGGCAACUAGCACAGGGCUCAUAAAAUCGGUAUUAUACCAUUCCAUUACUGUAAGUCAGGAAGUACAUAGGUCACCGUAUUUUGGAACAUUCAUACUUUCUGGAUAGUCUUUAAGGGUAGACCCAUGUAAAGCACAUUGCAGUAGUCCAGCUAGGUCUUCUGAGAACAUUUAUUGCUGGACCUUUGCCCUCCUGCACUAGGAAAGAUAGCAAAAGUAUUGGGCAAAGUUGACACUAGCUAUGACCUCCAUCUAUUGUACCAGUAGGAGCCACGAGUCUAGAAUUAUACUGUAAAUCUGCUUCUUCAUGAAAAUGCCUGGCUAUACACAGAUAUAAUACUGGCAGUGACUGAGAACUCAAAACUUCAAACAAAAACUUAAUUAUACUUGAGUUCAGCUUCAGGCUAUUGUCUCCUACAGCCUCCUGUAUAUCUAGAGCCUCCAGAUAUGGGGUUAGGAUAUAACAGCAUUUCCCUUAUG